This 813-nucleotide long non-coding RNA is filed under the name Portunus trituberculatus (swimming crab). RNAcentral's name for it is "uncharacterized LOC123510930, transcript variant X2". The record is from RNAcentral. Lineage: Eukaryota; Metazoa; Arthropoda; Malacostraca; Decapoda; Portunidae.
UACACUACACCCCUUGGAAAAUAGUGAAGGUUAGCUUAGGUUAGCUUAGGUUAAGGUGUGGUGCAAAAAAGGUUAGGUUAGGUUUCGUUAGGUUAGAUAAGGUUAGGUUAGUUAAGGUGUGGUGCGGCAGUGUUUCAGCAUGUGGGCCUAACAUUCAACAGCCGUCCUGCGCCCCCAGAGCCAGGUCACGUAAGACUGGUGCAGCAGAUGGCCAGCUCAAGGACACAGAGUCAGGUUGGCCAAAAUUUAUAGACGACAGAAGAUUGGCGCUACUAUAAGAGCAUCGCUAUUAUAGUAUCAAAGAGUUUUAAUAUAUAUUCUAACUCCUGUUUAUGUAUGUUGAACUCCUUAUUGAGAUUUUUGACAGGUGGUCUUAUAUCAAUGUGGCUUACUGCGGGCUCAUGAGGAUUUAUAGAUCUUCGCGGCCCUAUGAACAACAACAAUGACCCUUACUGCUGUGGGCACUGUGCGGUCCGGCACAGACAGGAGCUGGUCCGGGGCUGGUGACCGCAGUGACCUUUGUGACCGUGUAAACUCUGGGGCUGGUUCUUGCGAGCAGGUUGGGGCGGUGGCUGGACGGGGCCGGCAUUAGCUGGGGCAGAGGGCUCGCUACGUCCCGCUGUCGCUCCAAGGCAGUGACCCUCACACACAAGUCCUUGACCUCGCCCCGGAUUUCCAGCAAGAGCUGAACCACGUCCUGGAGGGUCGAAGGCACGCCAGCCUGCGAUGCGGGGACUGCACGCUCAGCCCCCUACUGCAGCAGUAUAGCCACAUACUCUCCCUGUCUCCACCACCACCUGACCACCACUCUCU